GAUGAACGUUGGCGGCGUGCCUAAUACAUGCAAGUCGAAACGAAGACUGUAGUAAUACUGUCUUAGUGGCGAACGGGUGAGUAACGCGUGGGUGACCUGCCCCGAAGUGUGGGAUAACAGUCCGAAAGGAUUGCUAAUACUGCAUAAUAUCCAAGAGAUUAGAUGUCUUUUGGAUUAAAGGAGUAAUUCGCUUCGGGAGGGGCCCGCGUCCCAUCAGCUAGUUGGUAAGGUAAUGGCUUACCAAGGCGAUGACGGGUAGGGGACCUGAGAGGGUCGGCCCCCCACAAUGGAACUGAAACACGGUCCAUACACCUACGGGUGGCAGCAGUAGGGAAUAUUAGUAAUGGGCGAAAGCCUGAACUAGCAACGCCGCGUGUGCGAAGAAGGCCUUCGGGUUGUAAAGCACUUUUUGAGAGGAUGAGGAAGGACGGUACUCUCAGAAUAAGUCUCGGCUAACUACGUG
RNAcentral lists this ribosomal RNA (463 nucleotides) under uncultured bacterium. Its description in RNAcentral is "bacterial SSU rRNA". It matches the Rfam family "Bacterial small subunit ribosomal RNA", at positions 28 to 507 of the family's 1533-position model. The record is from RNAcentral.